ACGCUGGCGGUAGGCUAACACAUGCAAGUCGAACGGCAGCACAGGAGAGCUUGCUCUCUGGGUGGCGAGUGGCGGACGGGUGAGGAAUACAUCGGAAUCUACUUUUUCGUGGGGGAUAACGUAGGGAAACUUACGCUAAUACCGCAUACGACCUACGGGUGAAAGCAGGGGAUCUUCGGACCUUGCGCGAUUGUAUGAGCCGAUGUCGGAUUAGCUAGUUGGCGGGGUAAAGGCCCACCAAGGCGACGAUCCGUAGCUGGUCUGAGAGGAUGAUCAGCCACACUGGAACUGAGACACGGUCCAGACUCCUACGGGAGGCAGCAGUGGGGAAUAUUGGACAAUGGGCGCAAGCCUGAUCCAGCCAUACCGCGUGGGUGAAGAAGGCCUUCGGGUUGUAAAGCCCUUUUGUUGGGAAAGAAAUCCAGCUGGCUAAUACCCGGUUGGGAUGACGGUACCCAAAGAAUAAGCACCGGCUAACUUCGUGCCAGCAGCCGCGGUAAUACGAAGGGUGCAAGCGUUACUCGGAAUUACUGGGCGUAAAGCGUGCGUAGGUGGUCGUUUAAGUCCGUUGUGAAAGCCCUGGGCUCAACCUGGGAACUGCAGUGGAUACUGGACGACUAGAGUGUGGUAGAGGGUAGCGGAAUUCCUGGUGUAGCAGUGAAAUGCGUAGAGAUCAGGAGGAACAUCCAUGGCGAAGGCAGCUACCUGGACCAACACUGACACUGAGGCACGAAAGCGUGGGGAGCAAACAGGAUUAGAUAUCCUGGUAGUCCACGCCCUAAACGAUGCGAACUGGAUGUUGGGUGCAAUUUGGUACGCAGUAUCGAAGCUAACGCGUUAAGUUCGC
Molecule: ribosomal RNA, 847 nt
Filed under: uncultured Stenotrophomonas sp.
Lineage: Bacteria; Pseudomonadati; Pseudomonadota; Gammaproteobacteria; Lysobacterales; Lysobacteraceae
Description: bacterial SSU rRNA
Rfam family: Bacterial small subunit ribosomal RNA
Source: RNAcentral